GGGGCAGACAUGGCUUUGACAGCGUGUAGAGGUGGUGAGCAAGCACGCCGAGCGAUAAUGGCAAUGCUCGUUAAUAUCAGUCAUUGCUAAAUUUUAUCUGGCGAAAACAACUUCGCUCUCGCUGCCUAACCGAAGCACAGUAGGUUAGCUUCAUCUCCGCCCGAGGGGCAGAGACGAGACAUCACCCGAAAGCCCUUUUUCCGAGGCAGUUCGAUUCGGUGGUGCUCGCAAAUCGGAAAUAGAUAGCUGAUGGCCUCGCUCAGUUGUCGAAAUCUUGAGGAUAAGCCAUUGGUUGGUCGUCUUGAGCCUGCCAACGGUCGAAAACCAAGUCAAGACUAAGCGUGUAGAAAACUCAUUAGUUCCACGUUUGGACGAGGGUUCAACCCCCUCCUGCUCCACA
Molecule: transfer-messenger RNA, 400 nt
Filed under: bovine gut metagenome
Also listed under: 1 other name
Rfam family: transfer-messenger RNA
About the family: Bacterial tmRNA, also known as 10Sa RNA or SsrA, is named for its dual tRNA and mRNA-like properties.
Source: RNAcentral